RNAcentral lists this ribosomal RNA (244 nucleotides) under uncultured bacterium. Its description in RNAcentral is "partial 16S ribosomal RNA". It matches the Rfam family "Bacterial small subunit ribosomal RNA", at positions 29 to 214 of the family's 1533-position model. The record is from RNAcentral.
AAUGAACGUUGGCGGCGUGGAUUAGGCAUGCAAGUCGAGCGAGAAGGAACCACUCAUCCGCUUCACAUUUUAGCCCCCGGUCAGUGACCGGGGGUAAGGUGUGGACCAGAUGAGUGGUUCCGGACAGCGGCGAAAGGGAGAGUAACGCGUAGUUACCUGCCCCAGGGUCCGGAAUAGCCACGGGAAACUGUGGGUAAUGCCGGAUAACAUCCGUUCUGUAACGGAGUGGAUCAAAGGUGUGAUU